CCAUAGUAUGUGUUAUCAACCAUAGCAUGCGUUAUCAACCAUAGUAUGCAUUACCAACCAUAGUAUGCGUUGUCAACCAUAGUAUGCGUUGUCAACCAUAGCAUGCGUUAUCAACCAUAGCAUGCGUUGUCAACCAUAGCAUGCGUUAUCAACCAUACUAUGCAUUACCAACCAUAGUAUGCGUUAUCACCCAAAACUUAAUGUUAGAUUUUCGGGACAGGUUUAAGGUGUUGAGUCAUACAUCUGCUGACAGAUAUUUAUGAAUAUUUAUGAAUGUCUGUAUCUUUAUAUAAAUUUUUUAAUACUGAUUUAAGGUAAUUAAUAUUGAGUUUUGUGUUGAUUACCUUGAUACCUUUUAGCAAGUAUUUUGAUGUAUUUUGAGAUUAAAAAUAUGAAAAUAUCCAAGCUAUUCUGUUAGCACUUAUGACAGAAAUAUGAGUUUGUUAAUACGUAUUAUUAAAUUUAGUUUUCAAGCAUCGUGUAGAACAGGUAAAUGGUGUUAACAAGGACCUGUAAUUAACAAGCAUCGUGUAGAACAGGUACAUGGUGUUAACAAGGAGCUGUAAUUAACAAGCAUCGUGUAAAACAGGUACAUGGUGUUAACAAGGAGUUGUAAUUAACAAGCAUCGUGUAGAACAGGUACAUGGUGUUCACAAGGAGCUGUAAUUAACAAGCAUCGUGUAGAACAGGUAAAUGGUGUUAACAAGGAGCUGUAAUUAACAAGCAUCGUGUAGAACAGGUAAAUGGUGUUAACAAGGAGCUGUAAUUAACAAGCAUCGUGUAGAACAGGUAAAUGGUGUUAACAAGGAGCUGUAAUUAACAAGCAUCGUGUAGAACAGGUACAUGGUGUUAACAAGGAGCUGUAAUUAACAAGCAUCGUGUAGAACAGGUACAUGGUGUUAACAAGGAGCUGUAAUUAACAAGCAUCGUGUAGAACAGGUACAUGGUGUUCACAAGGAGCUGUAAUUAACAAGCAUCGUGUAGAACAGGUAAAUGGUGUUAACAAGGAGCUGUAAUUAACAAGCAUCGUGUAGAACAGGUACAUGGUGUUCACAAGGAGCUGUAAUUAACAAGCAUCGUGUAGAACAGGUAAAUGGUGUUAACAAAGAGCUGUAAUUAACAUUGGUAAAUCUUAAUUUAUAAUUGUUCUAACAAGUAUUGUUCUUCAAAAAUAUGACUGUUGAUGAUUUUAUGAUUUUAGUAUAAAUUAUUCACAUUAUUUUCGCAUUACACAACUUUAUAAUUAAUAAUGUAACAGCUGCGGAUUAUAUGUUACGCUGGAUAUCUGUACUUAGGAAUCCACGUUAUGGAACUUUCAGCUUAUCAUUAAUGCCUAUAAAAGGUAAUACCUAGUUUUUUCAGCUUAUCAUUCAUGCUAAAAAUGGGCCUCUCAAAACGAUAUAAAGUUCAACGAGGAGAAAUUUCAACUACUCAGAUAUGGAAAACUUGACGAAAUUAAAAAUGUGUCAGGGUAUACCUAUUUAUUCUGCCGUAUAAAAUGUUAUUCAAGGGAAAUGUUCAGAAGAAAUAAAGGAAUUAUGUAAGGGUUUAUUUGAGAGCACAAGUAAAACAUUGGUAACCUCUCAUAAGCAUUUCAUUUACGAUAAAAGAUAAUUAUCUUAGGAGAACUGUAUAUAUUGACGAAGAAGCCUGCGCACCAGGCUCCUUCAGUAGGAUACAUGAAACUGUACUACUGAAGUGUAGGGGUAAAUAUGUGAUGAUGUUCCUUAACAUGAGUAGGUAGUAAGUCCUCUAACCUGAGAGACUGACCAUCUUUUUUCAGUUAAAGACAGAUCACUUUAAAAUUACCUCUCGACAUCUACCGUCUCCAAUAUUAUUAUUGUCUGUAUUCUGCUGAAGAAGUCUGCUGCGCAGGUGAAACGUUUCCACAAUGAGAUAUCUAAUUAUUGUACGUUUGUGUUACUUAUCAACUUGUCGCUGUUGCAAACCAUUUAUAACAUAUGAUUAAUUAUUAUCAUUGCUUUUGCUUUGAAUGUUUUGGAUUUAAUUACAUAAAACUAGAGUAGAUAAACUCGGAAGCUCCAUAUAUUUUCUUUUGUAAUGAGACAUAGUUUACUGUUAAUUAUUAGGGCUAUGUAUAUUUAUAGUGUACUUCAGUUGGGAACAAUGUGAUACCGAAGUGUCUUUGUGUAUUAUAGUAAGAACCGAUGUGUGAUAGAUUGUUUGAUAUAUGUACAUAGUAUACAUAAUUACAUAUUGUUUUCUAUAUUUAUGUUGUUUAUAAUAUAUGAGAGUAGUGAGUUUACCUUGGGUAAGUGUGUGUUGAUAUGAGAGUAGUGAGUUUACCUUGAGUGUGUGUUGAUAUGAGAGUAGUGAGUUUACCUUGAGUGUGUGUUGAUAUGAGAGUAGUGAGUUUACCUUGAGUGUGUGUUGAUAUGAAGUAGAGGGGACGAGGCUGCCUACCUACCACUCACUUAGGAGUUAGAAACAUAUUCAUCUCUGAUAGUGAACUGAAAAUUAUGAAAAUAUUAAUCAGCAUCUGUAGGUGUGAUUAAUACCUCCCUUUUAGUAUUAGGCAUGUGUGAAAUGUUAUAUUUAGACAAUUUCUUUUUGCUUAGAUUUUAGACAGCCUUUCAACAGCUACAUAAAUCUCCGCAUAUCUGGAAUAGGUGACAUUUCAAGAUAAUUAUCCAGUCCAGUAUACACUGUAUAUAUUGUAAACUUUCUCAAGCACGUUUAAUGUUAUGACUCACCUAUAUGUUUACAUUUGCUGGUGAUGUGUUGAGGAGACCAGCAACACAAGACUCCGCAAGUUUAUGCUGCUAUGUCUAGUGUUAUUUUGGACGGUUUAUUGUAAGAGUGGCAUAUGUUUUAUAUAAAGCAGUAUCACUGAU
Molecule: non-coding RNA, 2855 nt
Organism: Cherax quadricarinatus
Lineage: Eukaryota; Metazoa; Arthropoda; Malacostraca; Decapoda; Parastacidae
Source: RefSeq, a predicted model, not a curated record